This is a long non-coding RNA of Heterocephalus glaber (naked mole-rat), 659 nucleotides long. RefSeq lists it as uncharacterized. Lineage: Eukaryota; Metazoa; Chordata; Mammalia; Rodentia; Bathyergidae. The record is from RefSeq and is a predicted model, not a curated record.
CAUGCGAAGACAGGUAGACCAGGUCCAAGUCCCGGGGGCUCAAGGCAUCACUGGAGUCAUAGUCGCUGUCCGUGGGGAGGAAGACUUCCGAGCAGGCUUCUUCAUCCGAGCAGGGUUGCGACUCUACAAAGCCAGAGACAGAUUUUAGAAAAAGACACUCUCAGCUAGCGCCUGCCUCCCGCUCUGAUCAGUGUUUCCAGCCACUUUCUAGAAUGAAUACCUCAGGACAAAGAACCAUAUCAGCAGAGAGAGGAUCAAGAAUCAGUGUGGACCCAGGGACGAAGCUGUUUUGGUAGGUAGUUCUCCAUGCUGCAAGACAAUCUGCCGAAUGGAAAAGUGUUUGAUCCACACACGGUGGAACCGAAAGGCCUCUGAUGAUCAGGCAACUUAGUCACAGCCAAGCUCUCCCAGAAGAUGAAUUUGAAAUGAGAAUAUGUAUUAGAAAGCAAAUGAGUUUCAAGUUAAAAUGUUGCCCUGUCCACAGUGAGUACUUGGUUUUGAUCCUUCAUAUUUUUAAUUUCUCAUGUGCCAUAUUUACUCUCACUCUUAAGUCAUUUCCUCCUCCAUGCUUUUGCUGGCAAACUCUAGCUUUCUUCUCUCUGGAAAGGCUGGGAUUUACUUGUCUUAAGCUCAAACAAAUGGAGCCAUUACCCCCUGCA